GCCUUCAUUGUGUAGUAGUCAGCACGCUCGACGCGUAACCGAGAGGUCCUGGUUCGAUUCCAGGCCAAGGCA
This 72-nucleotide transfer RNA is filed under the name Stegodyphus mimosarum. It matches the Rfam family "tRNA". From Rfam's summary of the family: Transfer RNA (tRNA) molecules are approximately 80 nucleotides in length. Their secondary structure includes four short double-helical elements and three loops (D, anti-codon, and T loops). The record is from Rfam by way of RNAcentral. Lineage: Eukaryota; Metazoa; Arthropoda; Arachnida; Araneae; Eresidae.